This 8009-nucleotide small RNA is filed under the name Pongo abelii (Sumatran orangutan). RNAcentral describes it as "retained intron". Lineage: Eukaryota; Metazoa; Chordata; Mammalia; Primates; Hominidae. The record is from RNAcentral.
CAGGCCCAGAACUGCCUCACUAAGCUAUACAAGCUAGAUAAGAUGCAAUUCCGACAAACCAUGAGGGACUAUGUGAACAAGGACUCUCUCAAUAAUGUAGUGGACUUCUUGCAUGCUUUGCUAGGAUUUUGUAUGGAGCCGGUCACUGACAACAAGGCUGGGUUUGGAAAUAACUUCACCACAGUGGACAACAAAUCCACAGCCCAAAAUGUGGAAGGCAUUAUCGUCAGCGCCAUGUUUAAAUCCCUCAUCACACGCUGCGCUUCAACCACACAUGAAUUGCACAGCCCUGAGAAUCUGGGACUGUAUUGUGACAUUCGUCAGCUGGUCCAGUUUAUCAAAGAGGCUCAUGGGAAUGUCUUCAGGAGAGUGGCCCUCAGUGCUCUGCUUGACAGUGCCGAGAAGUUAGCACCAGGGAAAAAGGUGGAGGAGAAUGAACAGGAAUCUAAGCCUGCGGGCAGUAAAAGGUCAGAGGCGGGAAGCAUUGUGGAUAAAGGCCAGGUAUCCUCUGCACCUGAGGAAUGUCGCAGCUUCAUGUCCGGUCGCCCCUCACAGACUCCAGAGCACGAUGAGCAAAUGCAAGGAGCCAACCUGGGGCGGAAAGAUUUCUGGCGUAAGAUGUUCAAGUCCCAGAGUGCAGCAAGUGACACCAGCAGCCAGUCUGAGCAGGACACUUCAGAAUGCACAACUGCCCACUCAGGGACCACCUCUGACCGACGUGCCCGUUCACGAUCCCGCAGAAUUUCCCUCCGGAAGAAGCUUAAACUCCCCAUAGGUAAAAGGAACUGGCUGAAAAGAUCAUCCCUCUCAGGCCUGGCAGAUGGUGUGGAGGACCUCCUGGACAUUAGCUCUGUGGACCGACUCUCUUUCAUCAGGCAAAGCUCCAAGGUCAAAUUCACUAGUGCUGUGAAGCUUUCUGAAAGUGGGCCAGGAAGUGGCAUGGAAAAUGGAAGAGAUGAAGAGGAGAAUUUCUUCAAGCGUCUUGGUUGCCACAGUUUUGAUGAUCAUCUCUCUCCCAACCAAGAUGGUGGAAAAAGCAAAAACGUGGUGAAUCUUGGAGCAAUCCGACAAGGCAUGAAACGCUUCCAAUUUCUGUUAAACUGCUGUGAGCCAGGGACAAUUCCUGAUGCCUCCAUCCUAGCAGCUGCCUUGGAUCUAGAAGCCCCUGUGGUGGCCAGAGCAGCCUUGUUCCUGGAAUGUGCUCGUUUUGUUCACCGCUGCAACCGUGGCAACUGGCCAGAGUGGAUGAAAGGGCACCACGUGAACAUCACCAAGAAAGGCCUUUCCCGGGGACGCUCUCCCAUUGUGGGCAACAAGCGAAACCAGAAGCUGCAGUGGAAUGCGGCCAAGCUCUUCUACCAAUGGGGAGACGCAAUUGGCGUCCGAUUGAAUGAGCUGUGCCACGGGGAAAGUGAAAGCCCAGCCAACCUGCUGGGUCUCAUUUACGAUGAAGAGACCAAGAGGAGACUUAGAAAGGAGGAUGAGGAGGAAGACUUUUUAGAUGACAGUACUGUGAACCCCUCUAAAUGCGGUUGCCCCUUUGCCUUGAAGAUGGCAGCAUGUCAGCUUCUUCUGGAGAUUACCACCUUCCUGCGAGAGACCUUUUCUUGCCUGCCCAGACCUCGCACUGAGCCUCUGGUGGACUUGGAGAGCUGCAGACUUCGUUUGGAUCCCGAGUUGGACCGGCACAGAUAUGAGAGGAAGAUCAGCUUUGCUGGGGUCCUGGACGAAAAUGAAGACUCAAAAGAUUCUCUUCACAGCAGCAGCCACACUCUCAAAUCAGAUACAGGAGUCGAGGAGAAGAAAGAAGGGAGUCCUUGGAGUGCAAGCGAGCCCAGCAUUGAGCCAGAGGGAAUGAGUAAUGCCGGCGCGGAGGAGAAUUACCACAGAAACAUGUCGUGGCUUCAUGUGAUGAUCUUGCUGUGCAAUCAGCAGAGUUUCAUCUGCACUCACAUUGACUACUGCCAUCCCCACUGCUACCUGCACCACAGCCGCUCCUGUGCCCGACUGGUCAGAGCCAUCAAGCUACUCUAUGGAGACAGUGUGGACUCCCUGAGGGAAAGCAGCAACAUCAGCAGUGUGGCUCUCCGGGGCAAGAAACAGAAAGAAUGCUCAGAUAAGUCAUGCCUGAGGACACCUUCUCUAAAGAAGAGAGUUUCAGAUGCCAAUCUGGAAGGAAAAAAAGAUUCCGGAAUGCUGAAGUACAUCAGACUUCAGGUGAUGAGCUUGUCGCCUGCUCCCUUAUCUCUGUUAAUCAAGGCAGCACCAAUUCUGACAGAGGAGAUGUACGGAGACAUCCAGCCAGCUGCCUGGGAGCUCCUGCUCAGCAUGGAUGAGCACAUGGCAGGGGCAGCAGCUGCCAUGUUCCUGCUGUGUGCAGUGAAGGUGCCUGAGGCUGUGUCCGACAUGCUGAUGUCAGAGUUCCACCACCCGGAGACCGUGCAGAGGCUGAACGCUGUCCUCAAGUUCCACACGCUCUGGAGGUUUCGCUAUCAGGUCUGGCCCCGGAUGGAGGAAGGGGCACAGCAGAUUUUUAAGAUUCCGCCUCCCAGUAUCAAUUUCACCCUUCCCUCGCCGGUGCUUGGAAUGCCAUCUGUCCCAAUGUUUGACCCACCGUGGGUUCCUCAGUGCAGCGGGAGUGUCCAGGACCCCAUUAACGAAGACCAGUCUAAAUCCUUUUCAGCCCGGGCUGUGUCCCGCUCCCAUCAAAGGGCAGAACACAUCUUAAAGAACUUGCAGCAGGAGGAAGAAAAGAAACGACUUGGUAGAGAAGCCAGCCUCAUCACCGCCAUCCCCAUCACCCAGGAGGCUUGCUAUGAGCCCACAUGCACGCCCAACUCAGAGCCGGAAGAAGAAGUAGAAGAAGUCACCAAUCUGGCAUCCCGUCGACUGUCUGUGAGUCCAUCCUGCACCUCCAGCACUUCCCACAGGAAUUAUUCCUUCCGCCGCGGGUCAGUCUGGUCAGUGCGUUCAGCCGUCAGUGCUGAAGAUGAGGAACAUAACACUGAACACACGCCAAACCACCAUGUGCCUCAGCCCCCACAAGCAGUGUUCCCAGCAUGCAUCUGUGCAGCAGUACUUCCCAUUGUUCAUCUGAUGGAGGAUGGUGAGGUGCGGGAAGAUGGAGUAGCAGUGAGUGCUGUGGCUCAACAAGUCUUAUGGAACUGUCUAAUUGAAGAUCCAUCAACGGUUCUUCGACAUUUUCUGGAAAAACUGACCAUCAGCAAUAGACAAGAUGAGUUAAUGUACAUGCUGCGCAAACUUCUCUUGAAUAUUGGAGACUUUCCUGCUCAGACAUCUCAUAUCCUAUUCAACUAUUUGGUAGGAUUAAUCAUGUACUUUGUGCGAACCCCCUGCGAGUGGGGGAUGGAUGCCAUUUCAGCCACUCUGACAUUCCUGUGGGAGGUGGUGGGUUACGUGGAGGGCCUCUUCUUCAAGGAUCUCAAGCAGACGAUGAAGAAGGAGCAGUGCGAGGUGAAGCUCCUGGUGACCGCUUCAAUGCCAGGUACUAAAACCUUGGUAGUUCACGGACAGAAUGAGUGCGAUAUCCCAACCCAGUUACCAGUCCAUGAAGACACUCAAUUUGAAGCCCUGUUGAAGGAGUGUCUGGAGUUUUUUAAUAUCCCAGAAUCCCAGUCAACACAUUAUUUUCUUAUGGAUAAACGAUGGAACCUUAUCCACUACAAUAAGACCUAUGUUCGCGAUAUUUAUCCUUUCCGGAGGUCAGUAUCUCCCCAGCUGAACCUUGUACAUAUGCAUCCAGAGAAGGGACAGGAGCUCAUUCAGAAACAGGUGUUCACCCGCAAGCUGGAAGAAGUAGGGCGGGUAUUGUUUCUCAUCUCCCUGACCCAGAAGAUCCCCACAGCCCACAAACAGUCCCACGUCUCCAUGCUUCAGGAAGAUCUCCUCCGCCUGCCCUCAUUCCCUCGUAGUGCUAUUGAUGCUGAGUUUUCACUCUUCAGCGAUCCUCAAGCUGGAAAGGAACUGUUUGGCCUCGACACUCUUCAGAAAAGCUUGUGGAUCCAGCUGCUGGAGGAAAUGUUCCUGGGCAUGCCGAGCGAGUUUCCAUGGGGAGACGAAAUCAUGCUUUUCCUCAACGUUUUUAACGGGGCUCUGAUCCUCCACCCAGAAGACAGUGCCCUGCUCAGGCAGUACGCUGCCACUGUCAUCAACACCGCGGUGCACUUCAACCACCUCUUCUCUCUCAGCGGCUACCAGUGGAUUCUCCCCACCAUGCUGCAGGUGUACUCCGACUAUGAAAGCAAUCCCCAGCUGCGUCAAGCCAUCGAAUUUGCCUGUCACCAGUUCUAUAUUCUACACCGGAAGCCCUUUGUGCUCCAGCUGUUUGCUAGUGUGGCCCCUCUCCUGGAAUUUCCUGAUGCUGCCAAUAAUGGGCCCAGCAAAGGUGUGUCAGCUCAGUGCCUGUUUGACUUGCUGCAGUCCCUAGAGGGAGAGACCACCGACAUAUUAGACAUCUUAGAGCUGGUCAAAGCUGAGAAGCCUCUCAAGUCUUUAGAUUUCUGCUAUGGAAACGAAGAUCUGACAUUUUCUAUCAGUGAAGCCAUUAAGCUCUGUGUCACUGUGGUGGCGUAUGCUCCCGAAUCAUUCAGAAGUCUUCAGAUGCUGAUGGUCUUGGAAGCCCUAGUUCCAUGUUACCUACAAAAGCUAAAGAGGCAGACAUCACAGGUGGAGACAGUACCUGCUGCCCGAGAGGAGAUUGCGGCCACUGCUGCUCUUGCGACGUCCCUACAGGCCCUUUUAUACAGUGUAGAGGUCCUCACCAGGCCCAUGACAGCCCCACAGAUGAGCAGGUGUGACCAAGGCCAUAAGGGAACCACCACAGCCAAUCACACCAUGUCGUCUGGGGUGAACACCAGGUACCAGGAACAAGGAGCCAAACUGCACUUUAUCAGGGAAAACCUUCAUUUACUGGAGGAAGGGCAAGGCCUUCCCAGAGAGGAACUGGAUGAACGAAUUGCUCGGGAAGAGUUCAGAAGACCCCGGGAGUCCUUACUGAAUAUUUGCACAGAGUUCUAUAAGCACUGUGGGCCGCGGCUGAAGAUCUUGCAAAAUCUGGCUGGGGAGCCUCGGGUCACUGCCCUAGAACUGCUGGAUGUGAAGUCUCACAUGAGGUUGGCAGAAAUUGCACACUCCCUUCUGAAGCUGGCACCAUAUGACACUCAGACAAUGGAGAGUCGUGGGCUUCGGCGCUACAUCAUGGAGAUGCUACCCAUUACUGACUGGACAGCUGAGGCAGUGAGGCCAGCCCUCAUCCUCAUUUUAAAAAGAUUGGAUAGAAUGUUCAACAAAAUUCAUAAGAUGCCUACUUUGAGGUGAGAAUGCCUCCUAGUUAGCUGUUGCUAUCACAAAUGUCAAAGUUAAGAUUUGUCAUUUUUUAAGAUGAUGGAUCAUUCUGGAGUUAAAUGAAUGACUUGAAAGUUUUCUUUGGUAUAUGUGCAUAGUUAAUAGGGUCUAUGAAUGCCUAAGUAGCAAAGCCUACAUUUUGAGAAAAAUAACAUUUUCUUUAAAAGUAUAUGUGCUCAUCUUGAAAAAAUCUAUCCAUUUCUUAGCUAUCAUGCUCCUCAUCUGACACAUAUAAAAAUUUCAAUUAGUACCCUUUAAUCCCUUUUAAAAUAAGGGAGGGUUGGCAUUAUAAAUGAAACAACUAAUGAGAAAAGAAAAUGAAUUUUAUGUUCAAAAUACUAUAUUUAAGAUAGCUAGUUAACAUAGUUAGGUACCAGUUUAGAGAAAUUCCAAGCUUUACAAUAAUUGCCAAGCAGAAGCUUAAAAAUUCGCAGGAUUGAAAACAAACACCUAAUUUUCACUUUUUUACCUAAUUCAGUGUGGUACCAAAUGAACACUAUUAAUGCUUGAUCUUUGUUCAGUGAUCUGGGAAAUAUUCAUUGGUAGCCUACAUAUUAGCAGAUGUUUUUGAACCACUCUACUUAGAGAUGUGAGCUGAGUUUGGAAACUGUAGUGAUAGUGAGCAGAUAGUUCAACAGAUUAAUACUGGUAAACCCACUUACUCGGAAAUUUCAAGCUUGGGUUAGUGAGCAAAUUUUCUGUCCUUUUAAACUAAACCCAAAAAUCAGUGUGACUCCUUCCCAAGAAUUUAUAGCACUUAAUGUUCAAUUCAUCAGAAUUUUUCAGGUAUUAGUCCAUAAUCUCCUUCACACUAAUCCAGCCUUCAGGAGUCAUUAAAAAAACAAAUUGAAAAUUUUUAUUCUAAUAAUUGAUUAUUUGUUUUUAUAUUCUUUUAUACCGUGGUGAUGACUGCCUAUACAUUAUUUCAAGGUUAUUUAUUUCAAUGGCAUGGAAAUGCCUGUUUUAAAACACUAUUUCUUUAGUGAUCCCAAUAGAACAUUUGUGUCUAUCAGCAAAUGGCUUAUCAAAGAUUUAUAACUGUCUCACAAGGGUGUGUCGAAAUAAAUUCCUUUCUUAAAUACUUCAUAUCUAAAGAUGUUAAACAUCUCCAAAAAUGACCCAUUUAUGCUUCCCGAAAGUAGAUUUCUGGAUUAAUACAUAGGCUUGGUCAGUUAUAGGCAAUUUUCUUGGGAGAUAGGCUAUGAAUAUGGAGUUGGCUUGGAUUUAAAUUCAUUAGGUGAUCUCAGCUCAACACAAGAAAUGUUGACUGAACCUGACCUGCACAUUACCUUCAGUGUCGGAGAUGUCACAUAGCCUCAUUUAUGAAUACAUUUCCAUUUGUCAUUGCAGAUUCCAUUUCGCUAGAAAACAUAAGCUUAGAAAGUAUUGCCAGGAAAAUAUAAGGAAAUACUGUUAAUAUCAGUAAAGCCCAAGCUGUUUAUUUUGGGGCCACAGGGAUGAAUCAGUACUAGGGCAACUAUGAAAUGGAUUGACUUUUAUUACAGAAAAUCCCAUAUUCAUUUAAUUGGGUUAUGUAUACAGUAACACCAUUUAUACUACCAUAGAAAGUAGCCAAAAAAUACAUAUCACUUCUUGGGAGGCCAAGAAAGAACAUUGUUUAAAUAAACUGUUUUCUUCUAAUGUGAUCGUCUUAGCAGGAGUUAAGCUAUGUAAAUCAAAUUAGUGGUAGUCUGGUGUAAAAACUGAUGGGUGUGUGUAAUCUGAUAAACAGGUUUCAGAAAUGUAGCUGGGAUCAGAUUAGUUCUAUUGGGAGUAAUUACCCCUGUGAUCAGUUUUCUACAAUGGUAGUCUUAGGACCCUCUGUCAAAGCUAAAAUCAGGGAAAUUAAAAUGCAACCUGUUCCUCAUCUCUGUUUUUUCUUCAAUAGAUUUAGUCGAGUGGGGCAGGCCUGCCUCUGCUACGUUUUCAGUAUCUUCUUCCCCUCCCAGUAUGCUCUGUGCUUUUGGAACAAUAUGGGUAAACUUCAUCCCAGAGACACGUCCUGUCUUAGAUGGCGUCAGAAUCACUGUCUCAUUCACUUGUUUCAGACUCUCCAGAAGGGAGCCAAGCCGCUAAUGGCACCUAUAUUGUAUUCCAGGAGACAGGUUGAGUGGGAGCCUGCCAGCAAUUUGAUUGAAGGGGUUUGUUUGACACUUCAGAGGCAGCCAAUCAUAUCCUUCCUGCCUCACCUUAGGUCACUGAUCAAUGUCUGUGUCAAUCUGGUGAGUAGCCAAGUGGCAAUCUUAUGAAACUUUGCACAAUGUAACUCUGCUAUUGACUUCUCUGAAUUGAAGAUUUACAGGUCAACCACUUUGUGCCCCUAUCUGCCCAUGAAAACAGACGGCUCAGGUGACACUGAAAAUAGUGAGGUACAUUUCAAGGUGGUGUGUGGGGAGAUCCAGGAACCCAUCCCUACACAGAAGGGAUUUUGGUGUGCUGCUUCCCAUGCACUACUUUGACAAUUCACCUCUUCAAGUUGCGCUGAGAGUUGAGGGCUGCCAGUUGGAGAGUGGGGUGGCGGAGCCUGCACAAUUGGCUAGAAGUUGAGGUAGUCUGGGGUGGGGAACUUAAAAUGCAAAGAGGAUUUUUUUCUUUUAUGGUGCAAAAUGACACUAUGAGUUGGCCAGUCUAGGAUUUAUGUGAAG